This 460-nucleotide ribosomal RNA is filed under the name uncultured bacterium. RNAcentral's name for it is "partial 16S ribosomal RNA". It matches the Rfam family "Bacterial small subunit ribosomal RNA", at positions 338 to 795 of the family's 1533-position model. The record is from RNAcentral.
CCUACGGGUGGCAGCAGUGAGGAAUAUUGGUCAAUGGGCGGAAGCCUGAACCAGCCAAGUCGCGUGAGGGACUAAGGCCCUACGGGUCGUAAACCUCUUUUGCCGGGGAUCAGAGCCCAGCUCGCAAGCUGCUAGGGAGCGUCCCCGUACAAAAAGCAUCGCCAAACUCGGUUCCAGCGGCCGCGGUAGUACGGAGGAUGCGAGCGUUUUCCGGAUUGCUUGGAUGAAAGGGGUGCGUAGGCGGGCCUUAAGGCCGGCGGUAAAGUUGCGGGGCUCAACCCCGCCGAGCCGUCGGAACCGGGUGCCUUGAGUACAGGAGAAGUAAGCGGAAUGCGUGGUGUAGCGGUGAAAUGCAUAGAUAUCACGCAGAACCCCGAUUGCGAAGGCAGCCUGCCGGAGUGCAACUGACGCUGAGGCUCGAAGGUGCGGGUAUCAAACAGGAUUAGAUACCCUGGUAGUC